GACGUAGGGCGCGAGCGUUGUCCGGAUUUAUUGGGCGUAAAGAGCUCGUAGGCGGCUUGUCGCGUCGACCGUGAAAACUUGGGGCUCAACCCCAAGCCUGCGGUCGAUACGGGCAGGCUAGAGUUCGGUAGGGGAGACUGGAAUUCCUGGUGUAGCGGUGAAAUGCGCAGAUAUCAGGAGGAACACCGGUGGCGAAGGCGGGUCUCUGGACAGUUCCUGACGCUGAGGCACGAAGGCCAGGGGAGCAAACAGG
RNAcentral lists this ribosomal RNA (253 nucleotides) under uncultured bacterium. RNAcentral's name for it is "partial 16S ribosomal RNA". It matches the Rfam family "Bacterial small subunit ribosomal RNA", at positions 524 to 776 of the family's 1533-position model. The record is from RNAcentral.